AUUGAACGCUGGCGGCAUGCCUUACACAUGCAAGUCGAACGGCAGCACGGGUGCUUGCACCUGGUGGCGAGUGGCGAACGGGUGAGUAAUACAUCGGAACGUACCUUAUCGUGGGGGAUAACGCAGCGAAAGCUGUGCUAAUACCGCAUACGCCCUGAGGGGGAAAGCGGGGGAUCGAGAGGCCUCGCGCGAUUAGAGCGGCCGAUGCCUGAUUAGCUUGUUGGUGGGGUAAAAGCCCACCAAGGCGACGAUCAGUAGCUGGUCUGAGAGGACGAUCAGCCACACUGGGACUGAGACACGGCCCAGACUCCUACGGGAGGCAGCAGUGGGGAAUUUUGGACAAUGGGGGCAACCCUGAUCCAGCAAUGCCGCGUGAGUGAAGAAGGCCUUCGGGUUGUAAAGCUCUUUUGUCAGGGAAGAAACACCGGCUCUAACACAGUCCGGGAAUGACGGUACCUGAAGAAUAAGCACCGGCUAACUACGUGCCAGCAGCCGCCGUAA
RNAcentral lists this ribosomal RNA (501 nucleotides) under uncultured bacterium. RNAcentral describes it as "partial 16S ribosomal RNA". It matches the Rfam family "Bacterial small subunit ribosomal RNA", at positions 29 to 523 of the family's 1533-position model. The record is from RNAcentral.